UCAGUUUAUAACGGGAAGCCCCUCCAGCCCCGUCCCGACGCAUCCCCUCCGUCACGUGAUCAGACCCCUUCUCUGGGAUUUAUGCAACAUUUUGGACGAUCGCGUUCUGUCGUUCUGACGUUUGUUAAAUUCUAGUCUGUUAUUGUAAGUGGCACUUUUUUUUAAAUUUUGUGCUGGAGAAUUGCUGUAAUUUCUGCUUCUUUUUUUUUUAAAACCGGUUCCUCUCAGCUGGCUCGAGAUAAAUGAAUGAAAAAACAAACUAAGUUGUUGAUAAGAUUUUCUUAAUUGCAGGAAAUUUCUCCUUAAAACAACGACAGAAGUUUAUCGAAGAGGGAAUAAAACAAUUUUAUUUUUGUUUGUUUCUUCUUCUUCUUCUUCUCCCUAAACCUCCCACACUUUUAUACUGGCUCUGCUGCUUGUUUUGAGAGGCAUAUAAAGAGGUGUAAUUUUGCAAACAUUUCUUAAGUGCAGAGAGCCAGAAGGACCCUCCAGUAUUGUCCUGGGAGAGAAAGAGAAACACGUUGACAAAGGAAUCCAUUGUUCCUGGCGAACAAUUCAAGGGGCCUAGUAAGCUGUCCUCUACGAUCAGGCAGCCGGCCGCUGAUUUGAAUGCAAGGGGCCCCUCCAAGGAGAAAUGGUAAUAUAUGGCAAGAUAUAACCAACAGCAGCCCAUAUGCAACCGUGCACGUUGGCUGUACACACACACACACACACACACACACACAGGAAACAGAGAGCUGGGAGGAAAACUUUCUUUACUCUGGAUGUGUUUCACCUGCUCCCAGGAUUCGUCCCACUUGGUCCCCAGUAAAGAUAAAUUGGUCCACGUGUUUACAGAUUGGUGAGGCCCCAGUCGAGAGGUUUGGGGCGUCGGAGCAUCAGGUUUUGCAUACAGCUGGAUUCAAGUCUGGGGCAACGCCACUGACGGGCGUUAUGGAAAUGUGACCAACAUUUGACAUAAUUUAAUACAAAAAUCUGUGUGUGUGUGUUCAGGCUUUAAGAUGACAGAUAUUGUAAAUGAAAUUCAGAUGGAGGGUCGGGGUCGGGGUCGGGGGGGCUUGGUGUGUAGAUGCUGACCUCAUCUCUGUUGUGUGUUGCAGGAGAUGCUUCCAGGCGCCUUGAGAUGAAGAUGUUUCUUUGAGCCUUCCUCCUCAUCACUGUAAUCAAGAGAAGACAUUUUCAACGCACACUGAUGGUUUCUAUCAAUUACUUUACGUCCACAAUACACUAAUAUAUAAGAUCCAUUUUGGAAAUGCAUCGCUUCAAUUAUUUAGAGUAAGUAAAACUUACAAGAAAACUGGGCCUCUUUUCCCCCCCGAACAUUUCUUAAUUUCACGUGCAAAUAACUAACCACGAUGUAAGGUCAAUGAGGUCACACACGC
This is a long non-coding RNA of Gasterosteus aculeatus aculeatus (three-spined stickleback), 1382 nucleotides long. The record is from Ensembl. Lineage: Eukaryota; Metazoa; Chordata; Actinopteri; Perciformes; Gasterosteidae.